GAUGAACGCUGGCGGCGUGCCUAAUACAUGCGAGUCGAGCGAACAGACGAGGAGCUUGCUCCUCUGACGUUAGCGGCGGACGGGUGAGUAACACGUGGAUAACCUACCUAUAAGACUGGGAUAACUUCGGGAAACCGGAGCUAAUACCGGAUAAUAUAUUGAACCGCAUGGUUCAAUAGUGAAAGACGGUUUUGCUGUCACUUAUAGAUGGAUCCGCGCCGCAUUAGCUAGUUGGUAAGGUAACGGCUUACCAAGGCAACGAUGCGUAGCCGACCUGAGAGGGUGAUCGGCCACACUGGAACUGAGACACGGUCCAGACUCCUACGGGAGGCAGCAGUAGGGAAUCUUCCGCAAUGGGCGAAAGCUUGACGGAGCAACGCCGCGUGAGUGAUGAAGGUCUUCGGAUCGUAAAACUCUGUUAUUAGGGAAGAACAAAUGUGUAUGUAACUAUGCACGUCUUGACGGUACCUAAUCAGAAAGCCACGGCUAACUACGUG
Molecule: ribosomal RNA, 497 nt
Filed under: uncultured bacterium
Lineage: Bacteria
Description: partial 16S ribosomal RNA
Rfam family: Bacterial small subunit ribosomal RNA
Source: RNAcentral